UAGUAUACGCGUAGACUCAUGCGGUAGUGACCCCCCUUCACAGGGCGCGUGUCGCACGUAUGUUAUACGCACAGGUCUCCGAUAGCAACGAACGUGACCGUACUCUAUUGUUGCAGCGACAAUACCUUUAAACGGGUAUUACCGCUGCUUAGCGAGAUUCGUCUUGCAUUAAACUAUAGAGACCGCUGUUUCUUCUUUAAACCAGAGGAAGGAUACGGCAAUAACAGGUCUGUGAUGCCCUCAGAUGUUCCGGGCUGCACACGUGCUACAAUGAUCAUUGCACUGUGCAUCUAACCCAGUGUGCGCGGACGCCGCCGUGCGUAUAUACUUUAUUGUGUAUGCGUAUCGUGCGUGCGACCGCGCCGAACCUGCUUCGAAAGUAAACAUUUCCAGCGGGUAAUCCAUUAGAAGUAAUGACUCGCAUAGACCAUGGCACACUAUAUGUACCCGCGGGUUCUACCCGGCUCGCCUUUGUGUGAGUGCAGUGCGUAGCUCGUUGUUUGGUACGUGCCACUCCGUAUUAAUUCAUACGUGGGGAUGGAUCAUUGUUUAAUUGUUGGUCUCGGUCUUAACUAGGAAUGCCUUGUACGGGUCUUUGGUUCAACAUACCACCCGGAAUACGUCCCUGCCCUUUGUACACACCGCCCGUCGCUCUUACCGAUGGAUUAUACUAUGAAUCUAUAGGACUGCCAAAGUUGCUCUCGGGCGCUUAGUGGAAAUAUAUAUGAAUAGUGGAUCU
Molecule: ribosomal RNA, 739 nt
Filed under: Ammonia sp. genotype T6
Lineage: Eukaryota; Foraminifera; Rotaliida; Rotaliidae
Description: SSU rRNA
Rfam family: Eukaryotic small subunit ribosomal RNA
Source: RNAcentral